CGGACGGGGCCGGGGGAAAAUGGCGGACGGGUGGAAGCGGGCGUGGGGCGGCCUGGAGGGAAAACGGGACCAGGCGGGCGGGUCCUCGGCCGGGCCGGAUCCGCGGGACCGGGUCCCCGGGGCUGCCGCGAGCACGUCGUGAGGUAUCUGGACCGCGUCAAGGGUCACCUUCUGUGUUACGGCAAGAGAAUCCUGCACAGCUGAUUCCACUUGCGGCUCAGGUGCCUCGUUGUAGGUGUCUCGUGCUGCUUGAGAGAUCCCCAGCCCAGGUUUGCAGCUGGUGGUGGAGCCCCCUGAGGGGAAGGGGCCAGCCCUGGGUCUGGGCAUUUUGGUCCUUUUUUUGGGAUGAAUAAAAAGGGGCGUGUGUCUGGGGAGCUGAUGAUGUCAUUUGGGGCACCCCAACAUCACCGGGGGAGCAAUGAGGCAGCGGAGGAGCAGCGUCGUUGCCGCCAUCGUCGGCAUUCAUCCUUCAUGUCGUGGUCGUCGUCGUUGUUCACGUCACUGUCGUGGUUGUCGUCGUCCGACGUCCCACCCUGCCCCUCUGCCGCCCGACGCCGCUCCCAGGACAGGCCCCCCCGGCCCCCCUCACCCGUGGGGCUGGGUGGGACACAGAGACUGUCAGCCCCCCCCAGAGGGUGCCGGGGUGCUGGGACACAAGGAAUGACCCCCCCCGGAGGGUGCCAGGAGGGACACACAAGGCCCUGGAGCAGCUGCUGUGACAGAGCUGAGUCCUGGAGCGUGGGGAGAGGUGGGUCAGGAUACCCAGAAUCCAUUUUGGGGGGGGGUGGGGGUGGUCUUUUCCCCCCCCUCCCCUCCUGGGGGGGGCUGGGUGCUGCUCCCUGGGUCCCCCCUGGACCCUCCCCCAAUCCUGGCUGGGUGAAGCCCCCCCCGCUUUGAACCCAGGGCUGUGGGGAACGCCCUUGGUGUGAGCCCCUGUGGAGUAAUUGCUAAAAUGAUCAAAAACACACAAUUGUUCGCACAUUAAGGUAAGGUAUAAAAUCAAAAAGCUUCUAGGGUAGAACACAGCCGCAGCUGGGAUGCGAAGAGUCUGCGAUUCCCUGUACGAUAUUGCUUGCAAAGCAACACGGGGGGCGAAGUGGAAUGGAGAGUCCACGGUCUCGCCCUGUGAAAAUCCAGCAGAUGUGGGAACGGGAUGGAGCUUAUGGAACUGAUAUCAGUCCUAUGGAACUGAUAAGCUGCAUAAUUACUACCCUGAGCCAACAGUCUGUCGAAUUUUGAUGAAAUGCUGUCCUUUGCGCAAACUUUGCUCAUUAUGAUGUCAUUACAAUACCAAAACGCACCUCCAUCCUGAAGGCUACCCGCCUCCAAGGUGCGACCGCUCCUCCUGGAGUCUGUGCCCUGAAUUUUUUGUAAACUCUACCUUUAAAUGUGAGGCGAGAGAAUUUUACACCAGUCAUAAUAAAGGUAUUUAUGACUGGAGUCACUCAAACUCCACCUUGAAGGUUAAAAAUAGUACAAAAAUAGCCCAAGAAAGGGGGGAUAUGAGAGAAGACACCAUCGUGAACAAAUCAAGGAGGACUCCAUCACCGACUGCCGUUGACUUCCAGGACCAGUCGACGGGAUGAGCCUUUCUUGCCCCCCAUAGGGACACCUUUGGGUAAGACUCGGACUAUACCGAUGCUUCCUCGGGAAACUUAGAAAUCUCUCUAGGGAGUCUUUUCCCUAUAUUUGUAGCCAGGCUGUAUUGUUUAGAAGUUUGUCACACGUUUUGUGUAAUUAACAAGACUUUUAUUUGCACGUGCUUUGCAGACAGUGUAUUUAUCACGGGCAACCCAUAAGAACCUAUAUAUCUGUUGCUUAAAUAAACCCCACUGUUU
Molecule: long non-coding RNA, 1838 nt
Organism: Chroicocephalus ridibundus (black-headed gull)
Lineage: Eukaryota; Metazoa; Chordata; Aves; Charadriiformes; Laridae
Exons: 5
Source: RefSeq, a predicted model, not a curated record